CACAUGCAGUCGAGCGGAUGAAGGGAGCUUGCUCCUGGAUUCAGCGGCGGACGGGUGAGUAAUGCCUAGGAAUCUGCCUGGUAGUGGGGGAUAACGUCCGGAAACGGGCGCUAAUACCGCAUACGUCCUGAGGGAGAAAGUGGGGGAUCUUCGGACCUCACGCUAUCAGAUGAGCCUAGGUCGGAUUAGCUAGUUGGUGGGGUAAAGGCCUACCAAGGCGACGAUCCGUAACUGGUCUGAGAGGAUGAUCAGUCACACUGGAACUGAGACACGGUCCAGACUCCUACGGGAGGCAGCAGUGGGGAAUAUUGGACAAUGGGCGAAAGCCUGAUCCAGCCAUGCCGCGUGUGUGAAGAAGGUCUUCGGAUUGUAAAGCACUUUAAGUUGGGAGGAAGGGCAGUAAGUUAAUACCUUGCUGUUUUGACGUUACCAACAGAAUAAGCACCGGCUAACUUCGUGCCAGC
RNAcentral lists this ribosomal RNA (464 nucleotides) under Pseudomonas sp. BAB-3703. RNAcentral describes it as "bacterial SSU rRNA". It matches the Rfam family "Bacterial small subunit ribosomal RNA", at positions 52 to 512 of the family's 1533-position model. The record is from RNAcentral. Lineage: Bacteria; Pseudomonadati; Pseudomonadota; Gammaproteobacteria; Pseudomonadales; Pseudomonadaceae.